UUAAAGGUCCAGUUAUUAAUG
Molecule: unclassified non-coding RNA, 21 nt
Filed under: Dictyostelium discoideum
Lineage: Eukaryota; Evosea; Eumycetozoa; Dictyosteliales; Dictyosteliaceae
Source: RNAcentral